UGCAAGUCGAACGAUGAAGCCAGCUUGCUGGUGGAUUAGUGGCGAACGGGUGAGUAACACGUGGGUGAUCUGCCCUGUACUUUGGGAUAAGCCUGGGAAACUGGGUCUAAUACCGAAUAUGACCACAGAAUGCAUGUUUUGUGGUGGAAAGCUCCGGCGGUAUGGGAUGGGCCCGCGGCCUAUCAGCUUGUUGGUGGGGUAAUGGCCUACCAAGGCGACGACGGGUAGCCGGCCUGAGAGGGCGACCGGCCACACUGGGACUGAGACACGGCCCAGACUCCUACGGGAGGCAGCAGUGGGGAAUAUUGCACAAUGGGCGCAAGCCUGAUGCAGCGACGCCGCGUGAGGGAUGACGGCCUUCGGGUUGUAAACCUCUUUCACCAGGGACGAAGCGAGAGUGACGGUACCUGGAGAAGAAGCACCGGCCAACUACGUGCCAGCAGCCGCGGUAAUACGUAGGGUGCGAGCGUUGUCCGGAAUUACUGGGCGUAAAGAGCUCGUAGGCGGUUUGUCGCGUCGUUCGUGAAAACUUGGGGCUUAACUCCAAGCGUGCGGGCGAUACGGGCAGACUUGAGUACUACAGGGGAGACUGGAAUUCCUGGUGUAGCGGUGAAAUGCGCAGAUAUCAGGAGGAACACCGGUGGCGAAGGCGGGUCUCUGGGUAGUAACUGACGCUGAGGAGCGAAAGCGUGGGUAGCGAACAGGAUUAGAUACCCUGGUAGUCCACGCCGUAACGGUGGGUACUAGGUGUGGGUUCCUUUUCACGGGAUCCGUGCCGUAGCUAACGCAUUA
This 792-nucleotide ribosomal RNA is filed under the name Williamsia sp. Its description in RNAcentral is "bacterial SSU rRNA". It matches the Rfam family "Bacterial small subunit ribosomal RNA", at positions 56 to 862 of the family's 1533-position model. The record is from RNAcentral. Lineage: Bacteria; Bacillati; Actinomycetota; Actinomycetes; Mycobacteriales; Nocardiaceae.